Molecule: long non-coding RNA, 391 nt
Filed under: Gossypium raimondii (Peruvian cotton)
Lineage: Eukaryota; Viridiplantae; Streptophyta; Magnoliopsida; Malvales; Malvaceae
Description: long non-coding RNA (GRAI_LNC008900)
Source: RNAcentral
GCUAGUCUAGUGGUUAAAUAGUGUGUUAUUAUGGUGGAGGUCUUGUGUUCGAAUCCCUAUGUAGGCAAGGGAAUUAUUUUUUGCUCAGAUUUCAGGAUAAAGUUGUGUAAUAGGGGGAUUCUGAGUAGUGGAUGUGUAGUGGGAAUUAGGGGAUAAGAUUAAGGGAUUUUGGGGGUAUCGAGAUUUUAUUUUCUUUUUUUUCCCAUAAUCGAAUUUUGACUCUCUUUUCCAAAAGAAAUAUUUUGUUGUCUAUUCUUCUCCCUCUCCUCUUGUCAAAAUUCUCUGAGUUUUUCCAUGUUUCUCUUCCUUUUCUUUUUCUUGAUUUUUCCCUAAUCCAUUUAUUUUCCUUCGUUUUCGCACGCGGUUAGUGCUCGUUUCGUUUCGGUAAGUG